RNAcentral lists this ribosomal RNA (677 nucleotides) under uncultured fungus. Its description in RNAcentral is "eukaryotic LSU rRNA". The stretch from base 148 to 301 matches the Rfam family "5.8S ribosomal RNA". The record is from RNAcentral. Lineage: Eukaryota; Fungi.
UUGCUGUGCGCCUCUCGGGGCUGCACGCUUGAGAACACGUGAUUCUCACACCUGUGCACCUUUGGAAACGAGAAAUUCCAUUUCUCGAGUCUGCCCACACACUCUGUAUCAGUCACAAAAGUCAUCCAUUUCUUUAAAGAAAAAUACAACUUUCAACAACGGAUCUCUUGGCUCUCGCAUCGAUGAAGAACGCAGCGAAAUGCGAUAAGUAAUGUGAAUUGCAGAAUUCAGUGAAUCAUCGAAUCUUUGAACGCACCUUGCGCUCCUUGGUAUUCCGAGGAGCAUGCCUGUUUGAGUGUCACGUUAAUACAUCACCCUCCUUUGGUCACCUGAAGGGGUGCGUGGACUUGGACUGUGCCGUUGUUGGCUUGUCCUGAAAUGCAUUGGCCGCCUUGAGCUUGCCUCCCUGGUGUGAUAGUCAUCUACGCCUUCGGAGUGGGUUACUUGGAGGCCUUACCGUCUUCGGACAAUCAUUGAUCUUUGACCUCAAAUCAGGUAGGACUACCCGCUGAACUUAAGCAUAUCAAUAAGCGGAGGAAAAGAAACUAACAAGGAUUCCCCUAGUAACGGCGAGUGAAGCGGGAAAAGCUCAAAUUUGAAAUCUGGCGUCUUUUGGGCGUCCGAGUUGUAUCCUAGAGAGGUGUUUUCUGCGUCGGACCAUGCAUAAGUCCCUUGGA